GGACUUUUCUUUAGCUAACAUGAAACAUAAUUAAAUGAGAAACACGAGGUCAAAAAAUCAAGAAAAACGGGAAACCAUAAGGGGUUCAUCAGAGGGGUUUUGAGGUCGCAAUUGCGGCAACUUGGCCAAGCUCUGCUCGCAUUUUUCGGCUCAUAUUUUAGGCUUUUGACUUCGAUAUGGGUGUGGGGAGGUUCGAAAUUCAAUUUCAAAUGGAAAGGGGAAAAAUUUUACUUUUUUGGUGUCGGCGGUGGCUCUAGUGCAGCGAUGACGGUGGCUGGUCUCCUCCAGUGACUGGUUCACUUUUUAAUUGCCCCUCUUCUUCUUCUCCGAUCUCCUCUCUGUCAGCUAGGGUUAGGGUUCCCUGUGAAGAGGAGUUUAAAUA
RNAcentral lists this long non-coding RNA (382 nucleotides) under Carica papaya (papaya). RNAcentral describes it as "long non-coding RNA (CPAP_LNC003796)". Lineage: Eukaryota; Viridiplantae; Streptophyta; Magnoliopsida; Brassicales; Caricaceae. The record is from RNAcentral.